UAGGGAAUCUUCCGCAAUGGACGAAAGUCUGACGGAGCAACGCCGCGUGAGUGAUGAAGGUUUUCGGAUCGUAAAACUCUGUUGUUAGGGAAGAACAAGUAUCGGAGUAACUGCAGGUACCUUGACGGUACCUAACCAGAAAGCCACGGCUAACUACGUGCCAGCAGCCGCGGUAAUACGUAGGUGGCAAGCGUUGUCCGGAAUUAUUGGGCGUAAAGCGCGCGCAGGUGGUUCCUUAAGUCUGAUGUGAAAGCCCACGGCUCAACCGUGGAGGGUCAUUGGAAACUGGGGAACUAGAGUGCAAAAGAGGAAAGUGGAAUUCCAAGUGUAGCGGUGAAAUGCGUAGAGAUUUGGAGGAACACCAGUGGCGAAGGCGACUUUCUGGUCUGUAACAGACACUGAGGCGCGAAAGCGUGGGGAGCGAACAGG
Molecule: ribosomal RNA, 429 nt
Filed under: Bacillota bacterium
Lineage: Bacteria; Bacillati; Bacillota
Description: Firmicutes bacterium partial 16S ribosomal RNA
Rfam family: Bacterial small subunit ribosomal RNA
Source: RNAcentral